UACGUAGGGUGCGAGCGUUAAUCGGAAUUACUGGGCGUAAAGCGUGCGCAGGCGGUUUUGUAAGCCAGAUGUGAAAUCCCCGGGCUUAACCUGGGAAUGGCAUUUGGGACUGCAAGGCUAGAGUGUGGCAGAGGAGACUGGAAUUCCUGGUGUAGCAGUGAAGUGCGUAGAUAUCAGGAGGAAUACCGAUGGCGAAGGCAGGUCUCUGGGCUAACACUGACGCUCAUGCACGAAAGCGUGGGGAGCAAACAGG
Molecule: ribosomal RNA, 253 nt
Filed under: uncultured bacterium
Lineage: Bacteria
Description: partial 16S ribosomal RNA
Rfam family: Bacterial small subunit ribosomal RNA
Source: RNAcentral